GACGAACGCUGGCGGCGUGCUUAACACAUGCAAGUCGAACGGAAAGGCCCUGCUUGCAGGGUGCUCGAGUGGCGAACGGGUGAGUAACACGUGGGUGAUCUGCCCUGCACUUCGUGAUAAGCCUUGGAAACUGUGUCUAAUACCGGAUAGGAGCCAUUUUUAGUGUGAUGGUUGGAAAGUUUUUUCGGUGUAGGAUGAGCUCGCGGCCUAUCAGCUUGUUGGUGGGGUAAUGGCCUACCAAGGCGGCGACGGGUAGCCGGCCUGAGAGGGUGGACGGCCAAAUUGGGACUGGGAUAAGGCCCAGAAUCCCACGGGAGGGAGCAGUGGGGAAUAUUGCAAAAUGGGCGCAAGCCUGAUGCAGCGAAGCCGCGUGGGGGAUGACGGCCUUCGGGUUGUAAAAUCCUUUCGCUAGGGACGAAGCUUUUUGUGACGGUACCUAGAUAAGAAGCACCGGCUAACUACGUG
This 465-nucleotide ribosomal RNA is filed under the name uncultured bacterium. RNAcentral's name for it is "partial 16S ribosomal RNA". It matches the Rfam family "Bacterial small subunit ribosomal RNA", at positions 28 to 507 of the family's 1533-position model. The record is from RNAcentral.